RNAcentral lists this ribosomal RNA (592 nucleotides) under Wolbachia sp. RNAcentral's name for it is "bacterial SSU rRNA". It matches the Rfam family "Bacterial small subunit ribosomal RNA", at positions 220 to 829 of the family's 1533-position model. The record is from RNAcentral. Lineage: Bacteria; Pseudomonadati; Pseudomonadota; Alphaproteobacteria; Rickettsiales; Anaplasmataceae.
AUUAGAUGAGCCUAUAUUAGAUUAGCUAGUUGGUGGGGUAAUAGCCUACCAAGGUAAUGAUCUAUAGCUGAUCUGAGAGGAUGAUCAGCCACACUGGAACUGAGAUACGGUCCAGACUCCUACGGGAGGCAGCAGUGGGGAAUAUUGGACAAUGGGCGAAAGCCUGAUCCAGCCAUGCCGCAUGAGUGAAGAAGGCCUUUGGGUUGUAAAGCUCUUUUAGUGAGGAAGAUAAUGACGGUACUCACAGAAGAAGUCCUGGCUAACUCCGUGCCAGCAGCCGCGGUAAUACGGAGAGGGCUAGCGUUAUUCGGAAUUAUUGGGCGUAAAGGGCGCGUAGGCUGGUUAAUAAGUUAAAAGUGAAAUCCCGAGGCUUAACCUUGGAAUUGCUUUUAAAACUAUUAAUCUAGAGAUUGAAAGAGGAUAGAGGAAUUCCUGAUGUGGAGGUAAAAUUCGUAAAUAUUAGGAGGAACACCAGUGGCGAAGGCGUCUAUCUGGUUCAAAUCUGACGCUGAAGCGCGAAGGCGUGGGGAGCAAACAGGAUUAGAUACCCUGGUAGUCCACGCUGUAAACGAUGAAUGUUAAAUAUGGGGAG